UACGGAGGGUGCAAGCGUUGUCCGGAAUCAUUGGGCGUAAAGAGUUCGUAGGUGGUUUGUUAAGUUUGGUGUUAAAUACAGAGGCUUAACUUCUGUUCGGCAUCGGAUACUGGCAGACUUGAAUGCGGUAGAGGUAAAGGGAAUUCCUGGUGUAGCGGUGAAAUGCGUAGAUAUCAGGAGGAACAUCGGUGGCGUAAGCGCUUUACUGGGCCGUUAUUGACACUGAGGAACGAAAGCCGGGGUAG
Molecule: ribosomal RNA, 245 nt
Filed under: uncultured Pseudomonadota bacterium
Lineage: Bacteria; Pseudomonadati; Pseudomonadota
Description: uncultured proteobacterium partial 16S ribosomal RNA
Rfam family: Bacterial small subunit ribosomal RNA
Source: RNAcentral